This 401-nucleotide ribosomal RNA is filed under the name uncultured bacterium. RNAcentral describes it as "partial 16S ribosomal RNA". It matches the Rfam family "Archaeal small subunit ribosomal RNA", at positions 473 to 873 of the family's 1478-position model. The record is from RNAcentral.
ACACCGGCGGCCCGAGUGGUGAUCGUGAUUAUUGGGUCUAAAGGGUCCGUAGCCGGUUUGGUCAGUCCUCCGGGAAAUCUGAUAGCUCAACUAUUAGGCUUUCGGGGGAUACUGCCAGACUUGGAACCGGGAGAGGUAAGAGGUACUACAGGGGUAGGAGGGAAAUCUUGUAAUCCCUGUGGGACCACCUGUGGCGAAGGCAGCUUACCUGAACGGGUUUGACGGGGAGGGACGAAAGCGGUGGGCACGAACCGGAUUGGAUACCCGGGUAGUCCCAUCCGUAAACGAUGCUCGCUAGGUGUCAGGCAUGGCGCGACCGUGUCUGGUGCCGCAGGGGAGCCGUGAAGCGAGCCACCUGGGAAGUACGGCCGCAAGGCUGAAACUUAAAUGAAUUGGCGGGG